Tripterygium wilfordii is the source of this 80-nucleotide small nucleolar RNA. Lineage: Eukaryota; Viridiplantae; Streptophyta; Magnoliopsida; Celastrales; Celastraceae. The record is from RefSeq and is a predicted model, not a curated record.
AGGAGAUGUGAUGAUACCUAUCCAUAACAAUGCUUGAUGUUGAAUAUGAUCAACAAACAUGCACUACCAUCUGAUCUCUU